This 277-nucleotide ribosomal RNA is filed under the name uncultured bacterium. RNAcentral describes it as "partial 16S ribosomal RNA". It matches the Rfam family "Bacterial small subunit ribosomal RNA", at positions 28 to 297 of the family's 1533-position model. The record is from RNAcentral.
GACGAACGCUGGCGGCGUGCUUAAUACAUGCAAGUCGAGCGAGGUCCAUCCGGGGGUAACCCCGGAGAAGACCUAGCGGCGAACGGGUGAGGAACACGUGAGCAACCUGCCCCGAAGACUGGGAUAACACCGGGAAACCGGUGCUAAUACCGGAUGCCCUCCAGAGAUCGCAUGGUCACCGGAGGAAAUGGAUUCCGCUUCGGGAGGGGCUCGCGGCCUAUCAGCUUGUUGGUGGGGUAACGGCCCACCAAGGCUACGACGGGUAGCUGGUCUGAGA